Molecule: transfer RNA, 32 nt
Filed under: Craugastor rhodopis (polymorphic robber frog)
Lineage: Eukaryota; Metazoa; Chordata; Amphibia; Anura; Craugastoridae
Description: partial tRNA-Met
Source: RNAcentral
CCAAACAUGUAGACUAAUCCCUUCCUUUGUAU